GGCUGGGACGCAAGAACACGGGUUUAUGUCCCUGGCUGUGCCACGCAUGACCUUGUCAAGCCUCAGUUCUAGGCAUAGCCUGCCAUUCCUGAUCUUGGAAGGACAUUUGAGCACGGGGUGAGAGAUGGACAUCCCUUGAAAGGGGACUACAGUUCGGGUCUUUGCACGUGGUGGAGGUUGCUAAAGUGGAAGCCAAAAUCCCUUUCCUCUUCAGAAGGUGCUUCCUUCCCCUCUGCCUUUUGCCGUGAUUGUAAGUUUCCUGAGGCCUCCCAGCCAUGCUUCCUGUACAGCCUGCAGAACUGUGAGUCAAUUCAACCUCUUUUCUUCAUAAAUUAC
This 336-nucleotide long non-coding RNA is filed under the name Callithrix jacchus (white-tufted-ear marmoset). RNAcentral describes it as "lncRNA (ENSCJAG00000062551.2)". The record is from RNAcentral. Lineage: Eukaryota; Metazoa; Chordata; Mammalia; Primates; Cebidae.